GAGGAAUAUUGGUCAAUGGGCGAGAGCCUGAACCAGCCAAGUCGCGUGAAGGAAGACUGCCUUAUGGGUUGUAAACUUCUUUUAUACAGGAAUAAAAAGGCUUACGUGUAGGCCAUUGCAAGUACUGUAUGAAUAAGCAUCGGCUAACUCCGUGCCAGCAGCCGCGGUAAUACGGAGGAUGCGAGCGUUAUCCGGAUUUAUUGGGUUUAAAGGGUGCGCAGGCGGGCUUUUAAGUCAGCGGUGAAAUCUCGGGGCUUAACUCCGAAACUGCCGUUGAAACUGGGAGUCUUGAGUAUGGAUGAAGUAGGCGGAAUUCGUUGUGUAGCGGUGACAUGCUUAGAUAUAACGAGGAACUCCGAUUGCGAAGGCAGCGCACCGGCGCCCUACUGACGCUCAGGCACGAAAGCGUGGGGAGCAAACA
RNAcentral lists this ribosomal RNA (421 nucleotides) under uncultured Dysgonomonas sp. Its description in RNAcentral is "bacterial SSU rRNA". It matches the Rfam family "Bacterial small subunit ribosomal RNA", at positions 356 to 774 of the family's 1533-position model. Lineage: Bacteria; Pseudomonadati; Bacteroidota; Bacteroidia; Bacteroidales; Dysgonomonadaceae. The record is from RNAcentral.